GAAAUGCGAUAAGUAAUGUGAAUUGCAGAAUUCAGUGAAUCAUCGAAUCUUUGAACGCACAUUGCGCCCGCCAGUAUUCUGGCGGGCAUGCCUGUUCGAGCGUCAUUUCAACCCUCAAGCCCCCGGGCUUGGUGUUGGGGAUCGGCCACCGCGGGCUCCCGCGGGCCGUCCCCCAAAUGCAGUGGCGGUCACGCCGCAGCGUCCUCUGCGUAGUAGCACACCUCGCAGGCGGAUCGCGGCGCGGCCACGCCGUAAAACCCCAUCUCCUGAAAUGUUGACCUCGGAUCAGGUAGGAAUACCCGCUGAACUUAA
This 312-nucleotide unclassified non-coding RNA is filed under the name uncultured Ascomycota. RNAcentral's name for it is "sequence contains ITS1". The stretch from base 1 to 105 matches the Rfam family "5.8S ribosomal RNA", at positions 50 to 154 of the family's 154-position model. Lineage: Eukaryota; Fungi; Ascomycota. The record is from RNAcentral.